RNAcentral lists this long non-coding RNA (1134 nucleotides) under Paramuricea clavata. The record is from RNAcentral. Lineage: Eukaryota; Metazoa; Cnidaria; Anthozoa; Malacalcyonacea; Plexauridae.
GUGGAAGGUUUGCGAAUCUCAACACAUAUAGCUUCGAGAUUAUCUCUAGUCAGAUCUUUUCGUUCUAAAUAGUUAAGGGAAGUUUUCACAUAUAAACAGACGCCUCCCCCUGUUCUAGAGCGAUCGACCCUAAUAAGAUCAUAAUUACUUAUAUACAUAUCCUGGUUAUUAAUAGUAUCAUCCAAUCUUGUCUCAUUUAAUGCAAGAAUAUCGAGACAUUCAUCGGCUAAUAUGAUCCUAAUUUCGUCAAUAUGCUUAGGUAAACUGGUUAUGUUAAGCAUACCCAUUUUGAAACCCUUGAAAUCAGGGAAAUAUGGGUUAAAUUGAGCAUACCUUACAGCACCUGGCCAUGCCUUAUUUCAAUUACGACUAAAGUGAUUACUAUAAUUUCUAGUAAGAGUGCUACUACCCUUUCUAUUUAAAUGUAGGCCACCUCUAUUUAGGCAAGUAUAAUCUAAAUUAGUGUUGUCUAUAUAGGUCCAUUUGUUUUGGUCAGAGACCCGUUUAAGAAUGUCAUUUACAGUUUUAAUUUUGUUCUGGAUAUUAGCUUUAACUUUCCUGGUAAUAAUGCCCGAUAUACAUACGUUAGUGCAUGGUAGACUAUCCUUUAUUUGGGUUCCGAGGUUUAAGAUACCCGCAGCAACUACUUCUACCGUCUUGGAGUUAUCUUUAAUAUUGUUAGUGCCUACAUGCAAUAUUAUCUCGUCGGGCUUUUUGCGUAGUAAUGGUUUUAUGUAAUCUUGCAUAUCUUCAGCUUUACUCCCUGAAAAGGACUUUACAGAUACACGUUGUUUAUCGUUAGACAAGUCCCAGCCGUGAACAUGUUGUAGAAUUGAGUCCCCGGCGAUGAAAACAAGUUUGCCAGACUUAUUAUUCUUUGAGCCUGUUUGAAAUAAAUCGUUUGAAUUUGCAUUUGUUGUAUGCUUUCUAUUGUUGGUUUUGGCCUUGCCCUUGGAAAAUUCAAUGGAAGUUUGGGUUGAUUGACUUUCUUUUCUCCUUUGUUUUCUAUCGUGUUUGUUCGAAUCCAUGUUUAAAUUACUUGACCUACUUUGUCUAACAGUCGAAGUGCUAGACUCACUCGGGUCAAUUUCGUCAUUAGAUUCUGAUUCUUUAUCUGAGUCAUGUUCCGUGGAC